UAGAUGAGCCUAAGUCAGAUUAGCUAGUUGGUGGGGUAAAGGCCUACCAAGGCGACGAUCUGUAGCGGUUCUGAGAGGAUGAUCCGCCACACUGGGACUGAGACACGGCCCAGACUCCUACGGGAGGCAGCAGUGGGGAAUAUUGGACAAUGGGCGCAAGCCUGAUCCAGCCAUGCCGCGUGUGUGAAGAAGGCCUUUUGGUUGUAAAGCACUUUAAGCGAGGAGGAGGCUACUUGGAUUAAUACUCUAGGAUAGUGGACGUUACUCGCAGAAUAAGCACCGGCUAACUCUGUGCCAGCAGCCGCGGUAAUACAGAGGGUGCGAGCGUUAAUCGGAUUUACUGGGCGUAAAGCGUGCGUAGGCGGCUUCUUAAGUCGGAUGUGAAAUCCCUGAGCUUAACUUAGGAAUUGCAUUCGAUACUGGGAAGCUAGAGUAUGGGAGAGGAUGGUAGAAUUCCAGGUGUAGCGGUGAAAUGCGUAGAGAUCUGGAGGAAUACCGAUGGCGAAGGCAGCCAUCUGGCCUAAUA
Molecule: ribosomal RNA, 526 nt
Filed under: uncultured Pseudomonadota bacterium
Lineage: Bacteria; Pseudomonadati; Pseudomonadota
Description: bacterial SSU rRNA
Rfam family: Bacterial small subunit ribosomal RNA
Source: RNAcentral